This is a long non-coding RNA of Branchiostoma belcheri (Belcher's lancelet), 1062 nucleotides long. RefSeq lists it as uncharacterized. NCBI's taxonomy places the organism in Eukaryota, Metazoa, Chordata, Leptocardii, Amphioxiformes, Branchiostomatidae. The transcript is spliced from 3 exons. The record is from RefSeq and is a predicted model, not a curated record.
AUGACCCCUCCUUCCUCACACACACAAUGGUGCAACGUUACAAGAAUAGAAAGUAACCAUGGCUCAUAAAUGCCUGCAACGAUUCACAUGACCCGACCCAAACCCUGUAACAAAGUCACUGACAUCAUUACCAAAACAAACAAAAAAUUCGGUUGCCUGGAUGGUGUCAAUGUUUGCCUCGGAUGAAAGAACCUGCCUUGUUUUGGCGGGCAAACCUAUCCUUUUGUGAGACAGGGUAAACAGAGAGGGGCGGUAUACAUUACACAGACACCUAUUCAAGACGUCUGACCUUAUGUCAGGCCGGACGACAUUCACAACUCACCUUCGUCUGAGCAGGUAUAUCCAGGCUAGCUGAGACCAACGUUCAUCUUCUGUACACCCCACAAGAAGAACUACAAUCCUAAAGAUGAGGACUCUCCUGGUUGCACUUCUCCUGUUUGCUUUUGCAUACGAAACCAUCACAGCCACGACCACCGCCGCCGCAUCCACCGCCGCAGCAGCCACCGGUGCCACGACGGCCGCGGCCACGACCGCGAAUGGGACCAUGACCACCGCAUCCUCGGGGGCUCCCAACCUCGCUCACGUCAUCGAGAUGCUGCUCAUGCCACUGCUCAUGGCAAUACUAGCUAACAUCCGCUAGGCGGCGUUGUUUCAAACAGCCAACCAACAGCGGCAGUAACCUGCUUGAAGUGGAUGAUCUGAUAGCCUCCGUAGCAGGCUUAUAGAACUGGGGGUUUGGUGGUCUUCCGCUGUUUUCUGAUUAGCCCUGUUCUAAAAAAACGGGGGUAAUUCAACCAGGCCGGCUAGGUUGUCUAUAUGCAAUCAGAAAAUAGCACAUAAAAGAUCCCAAAGACCCCCAAACCCCCAGUUUUUUGGCAUGCUAUGGAGGCUAAUGAUCUGAUUUGAUUUUCUAUUUUGCAGUUAAAGAUGCAAACAAUGAUUUGCUGUGUUUCGUUAAUUAAACGUUUCGGAAUGAUUUAGCUAUGGGUAUGGUACAGAAUGUCUCUAUACUAGUUAUGUUCUAUCGUACCUACACAUGAUUCCAAGUUUUAGUAAGAAAUA